RNAcentral lists this long non-coding RNA (2072 nucleotides) under Setaria italica (foxtail millet). Its description in RNAcentral is "long non-coding RNA (SITA_LNC003598)". The record is from RNAcentral. Lineage: Eukaryota; Viridiplantae; Streptophyta; Magnoliopsida; Poales; Poaceae.
AGCUGUGCAAGGUCACUAUUGAGAUCCCCCUUUGCCUUUGGCCACUGCUCUGCCGCCCAGAAUUUUUUUUUUUUUUUUUUUUUUUGCAGCCUGUGUCCUUGUUGCACUCGCCCAUCAUUGAUUCCUUUUGCUCCUUCCUUUGCGAUCCCAAUGUGAUGCUCCUCUGCGCACACACGACGGGCUGUUUUGUUUUUUGCAUGUGACUUUCCUGUUUUCUUCCACUAACCGUGCCAAGGAUUGGGUAGCCCGUCGUCGUCAAAUCGGUAUCUGAAGCUUCAAGGUGUCUUGAUGCCUGUACAGUAGCUAGCUAGCUUGUUCUGUUUGUUAGGGUUUGGGUUAGAAGAAUGUUUCAGUGACUGUCGGGGCAUUUAUCAAGCUGGCAUUUCACAUCACCUUGACCGAGAUGUUCCUGGCAAGUCCCAAUGAUUGGCGCCAAUCUAAAUCCAAAACUGGGCCACCUCCACCUCUGCAUGUCUGUUACUGUGUGAUGAACAGAAUUUACAAGAAAUUUUUCACAGCGUUUUAUAUUCGAUUGUUGUGUAUUUUUUGACGGUUUAUUCAAUUAUUACGUAUUUGCUUGUGUAUCAGCAAUUUUGGAGCUUCCUAACAUAACUCUUCAUCUGCAAUGCAGUGCGGAUGUGCGAUGGCACCUUCCCAUCCUCGGGUUCAAAUUCAGGUAAGGUGUCACUGAUUAUUUCCUCUAUUUUUUACUUCUUUAGCAUGAAGAUUGUGGCUUGCUACUUUCCAGUGUCAAAUCCAUCAGAACAAAUCUAAUUUAGUGGAACGGAGUAUUUUAAAACAUAGCCCACCAACCUGUUCAAAGCAUUAUAUAUGCGGCACCUAGUAGCUUCUCUUCAUACCCUUCAUUUCACUAAUGGAUUUGACCAGAACCCAGAAAAAUCUAGCUGGAACACAGCACGGAUUCCCUUUUGCCUUUCCAUUUUUAUCGCGAUGUGCUUGCUAAGUGCAAGAUUCAUCUAGAUCAACUAACUUGUCUGGGCUAAUUUAAGCUAAGUAGAAUGGUGAUCCUUGGGUUUUUACCACUGAAGUUUCCCUGAAAUUAGGUGAAAGUGCCGAGUGGGUGAGCUGCCUUAAAGCAGAAUCAAAAUCUCUGGCCCAGCCAUGACUGUGUGGCUGUGUUAAUCAAAUCACCGGGGCGGAGCUAGAAGACUAGAACAACAACACUAGCAAUUUAGUUGUGGGACAGAUAGAAGAAAAGCGCCAUUUUAACAAUUGACUGGAGUGUGAUCCGCAUCAUCAAUUUGUGGAUCUGAAUUGUUUCCUGUGAGAAAUGUCAAAAUGUGCAGAAAUUUCUAUCCAUCAGUGAUAGGUGAAACCCGAGAGAGGAAGAGGACCCUGCUUUCAGUUCUCUUUGACCAGCACAAAAAAAAAAUCCUGUCCGAUUCGGAAGCGAGUGUACCAGCGCCCUUCCGAUGAUGCCGGCCGUACUCGCAGCAGCAGCAGAGGGGAACGAUCGCUGGUACAGCACCGCCCCCACGCUGCGGCCUCGCCCGUGCGGGCGCGCUUGCCAGUUUUCGUCGCCGUCCUGCGAGCAUGGUUGCCGAGGGAGCGAGGGCCCGUAACCGAGCUCUCGCUUUCGUUGGCGACGCAGCGACGUCGCCUUGUUUGUUUUCGGAGGCGCGUCCAAGCGAUAUACCUGCAAGGUCCUAGGCUAAUUAGGAGGAUUAAAUAUGAGCUAAUUAUAAAACUAAUUAUAUAGAUGGAGACUAAUUCACGAGACGAAUCUAUUAAGACUAAUUAAUUCAUCAUUAGCACAUGUUUACUGUAGCAUCACAUUGUCAAAUUAUGAACUAAUUAGGCUUAAUAGAUUUGUCUCGCAAAUUAGUCUCCAUCUGUGCAAUUGGUUUUGUAAUUAGCCUAUAUUUAAUACUCCUAAUUAGUAUCUAAACAUUCGAUGUGACAGGAAUUUUAGAAGGUGCUAAAAACAAACACCCAUAUGUGUAGGCGGUUGGCGGCGUCUGUCCGUUUGCUCGUGUUGGUAAAGUGUUAGGGUCACACGGGAACACGCUCGUAUCUAAUGCUCGUCUCGAAAUAGGUUUCGGAGAUGCCUC